UGUGAAAAGGGGGGUAGGGAGGGGGGAAAUUUCGAAUAAUAAAGAGUGAAUAAGUCGUGCAAUGAUUAAGGUUCAUUAAUAGUGAUCUAAGGCCAACUAUUGUAAGAUCCUUACAUACUUGACACAUUACUAUCUAGCAUGUGAUGCACUUAAUUCAUUGCAUGAGUCGUACAGUACUUGAUUUAUUUCAUGAAUAGCACCACUAAUGCAUAUAACUUUCUU
This 222-nucleotide long non-coding RNA is filed under the name Lathyrus oleraceus (garden pea). RNAcentral's name for it is "Pisum sativum (pea) long non-coding RNA (PSAT_LNC010489)". The record is from RNAcentral. Lineage: Eukaryota; Viridiplantae; Streptophyta; Magnoliopsida; Fabales; Fabaceae.